CUAAUACAUGCUAAAAAUCCCGACUUCGGAAGGGUUGUAUUUAUUAGAUUAAAAACCAAUGCCCCUCGGGGCUCUCUGGUGAAUCAUGAUAACUAAUCGAAUCGCCAGGCCUUGUGCCGGCGAUGGCUCAUUCAAAUUUCUUCCCUAUCAACUUUCGAUGUUUGGGUCUUGUCCAAACAUGGUGGCAACGGGUAACGGAGGGUUAGGGCUCGANUCCGGAGAAGGAGCCUGAGAAACGGCUACUACAUCCAAGGAAGGCAGCAGGCGCGCAAAUUACCCAAUCCCGACACGGGGAGGUAGUGACAAUAAAUACUGAUACAGGGC
This 324-nucleotide ribosomal RNA is filed under the name Trichoderma sp. KF-71. RNAcentral's name for it is "SSU rRNA". It matches the Rfam family "Eukaryotic small subunit ribosomal RNA", at positions 164 to 491 of the family's 1831-position model. Lineage: Eukaryota; Fungi; Ascomycota; Sordariomycetes; Hypocreales; Hypocreaceae. The record is from RNAcentral.